AGUGAACGCUGGCGGUAGGCCUAACACAUGCAAGUCGAACGGCAGCACAGUAAGAGCUUGCUCUUACGGGUGGCGAGUGGCGGACGGGUGAGGAAUACAUCGGCAUCUACUUUUUCGUGGGGGAUAACGUAGGGAAACUUACGCUAAUACCGCAUACGACCUACGGGUGAAAGCAGGGGAUCUUCGGACCUUGCGCGAUUGAAUGAGCCGCUGUCGGAUUAGCUAGUUGGCGGGGUAAAGGCCCACCAAGGCGACGAUCCGUAGCUGGUCUGAGAGGAUGAUCAGCCACACUGGAACUGAGACACGGUCCAGACUCCUACGGGAGGCAGCAGUGGGGAAUAUUGGACAAUGGGCGAAGGCCUGAUCCAGCCAUACCGCGUGGGUGAAGAAGGCCUUCGGGUUGUAAAGCCCUUUUGUUGGGAAAGAAAAGCAGCAGGUUAAUACCCCGCUGUUCUGACGGUACCCAAAGAAUAAGCACCGGCUAACUUCGUG
RNAcentral lists this ribosomal RNA (492 nucleotides) under uncultured bacterium. RNAcentral describes it as "partial 16S ribosomal RNA". It matches the Rfam family "Bacterial small subunit ribosomal RNA", at positions 29 to 507 of the family's 1533-position model. The record is from RNAcentral.